AGUCGACGAACUCUGGUAUUGAUUGGUGCUUGCAUCAUGAUUUACAUUUGAGUGAGUGGCGAACUGGUGAGUAACACGUGGGAAACCUGCCCAGAAGCGGGGGAUAACACCUGGAAACAGAUGCUAAUACCGCAUAACAACUUGGACCGCAUGGUCCGAGUUUGAAAGAUGGCUUCGGCUAUCACUUUUGGAUGGUCCCGCGGCGUAUUAGCUAGAUGGUGGGGUAACGGCUCACCAUGGCAAUGAUACGUAGCCGACCUGAGAGGGUAAUCGGCCACAUUGGGACUGAGACACGGCCCAAACUCCUACGGGAGGCAGCAGUAGGGAAUCUUCCACAAUGGACGAAAGUCUGAUGGAGCAACGCCGCGUGAGUGAAGAAGGGUUUCGGCUCGUAAAACUCUGUUGUUAAAGAAGAACAUAUCUGAGAGUAACUGUUCAGGUAUUGACGGUAUUUAACCAGAAAGCCACGGCUAACUACGUGCCAGCAGCCGCGGUAAUACGUAGGUGGCAAGCGUUGUCCGGAUUUAUUGGGCGUAAAGCGAGCGCAGGCGGUUUUUUAAGUCUGAUGUGAAAGCCUUCGGCUCAACCGAAGAAGUGCAUCGGAAACUGGGAAACUUGAGUGCAGAAGAGGACAGUGGAACUCCAUGUGUAGCGGUGAAAUGCGUAGAUAUAUGGAAGAACACCAGUGGCGAAGGCGGCUGUCUGGUCUGUAACUGACGCUGAGGCUCGAAAGUAUGGGUAGCAAACAGGAUUAGAUACCCUGGUAGUCCAUACCGUAAACGAUGAAUGCUAAGUGUUGGAGGGUUUCCGCCCUUCAGUGCUGCAGCUAACGCAUUAAGCAUUCCGCCUGGGGAGUACGGCCGCAAGGCUGAAACUCAAAGGAAUUGACGGGGGCCCGCACAAGCGGUGGAGCAUGUGGUUUAAUUCGAAGCUACGCGAAGAACCUUACCAGGUCUUGACAUACUAUGCAAAUCUAAGAGAUUAGACGUUCCCUUCGGGGACAUGGAUACAGGUGGUGCAUGGUUGUCGUCAGCUCGUGUCGUGAGAUGUUGGGUUAAGUCCCGCAACGAGCGCAACCCUUAUUAUCAGUUGCCAGCAUUAAGUUGGGCACUCUGGUGAGACUGCCGGUGACAAACCGGAGGAAGGUGGGGAUGACGUCAAAUCAUCAUGCCCCUUAUGACCUGGGCUACACACGUGCUACAAUGGAUGGUACAACGAGUUGCGAACUCGCGAGAGUAAGCUAAUCUCUUAAAGCCAUUCUCAGUUCGGAUUGUAGGCUGCAACUCGCCUACAUGAAGUCGGAAUCGCUAGUAAUCGCGGAUCAGCAUGCCGCGGUGAAUACGUUCCCGGGCCUUGUACACACCGCCCGUCACACCAUGAGAGUUUGUAACACCCAAAGUCGGUGGGGUAACCUUUUAGGAACCAGCCGCCUAAGGUGGGACAGAUGAUUAGGGUGAAGUCGUNACAAGG
RNAcentral lists this ribosomal RNA (1470 nucleotides) under Lactiplantibacillus plantarum. Its description in RNAcentral is "bacterial SSU rRNA". It matches the Rfam family "Bacterial small subunit ribosomal RNA". RNAcentral also lists the same sequence under 1 other name. The record is from RNAcentral. Lineage: Bacteria; Bacillati; Bacillota; Bacilli; Lactobacillales; Lactobacillaceae.